This 447-nucleotide ribosomal RNA is filed under the name uncultured bacterium. RNAcentral's name for it is "bacterial SSU rRNA". It matches the Rfam family "Bacterial small subunit ribosomal RNA", at positions 355 to 825 of the family's 1533-position model. The record is from RNAcentral.
UGGGGAAUCUUGGACAAUGGGCGCAAGCCUGAUCCAGCCAUGCCGCGUGAGUGAAGAAGGCCUUCGGGUUGUAAAGCUCUUUUACCAGGGACGAUAAUGACGGUACCUGGAGAAUAAGCCCCGGCAAACUUCGUGCCAGCAGCCGCGGUAAUACGAAGGGGGCUAGCGUUGUUCGGAAUUACUGGGCGUAAAGGGCGCGUAGGCGGCCUCCUAAGUCGGACGUGAAAGCCCCAGGCUUAACCUGGGAACUGCGUCUGAUACUGGGAGGCUUGGAUUCGGGAGAGGGAUGUGGAAUUCCAGGUGUAGCGGUGAAAUGCGUAGAUAUCUGGAGGAACACCGGUGGCGAAGGCGGCAUCCUGGACCGAGAUCGACGCUGAGGCGCGAAAGCUAGGGGAGCAAACAGGAUUAGAUACCCUCGUAGUCCCUGAGCGGGCUGGCAAGGCGCAU